This 230-nucleotide long non-coding RNA is filed under the name Musa acuminata (dwarf banana). RNAcentral describes it as "long non-coding RNA (MACU_LNC008741)". Lineage: Eukaryota; Viridiplantae; Streptophyta; Magnoliopsida; Zingiberales; Musaceae. The record is from RNAcentral.
CUCUGAUACCAAAUGAUAAGACCCUAAAGUCUUAUCGUAGGCUCUGAUACCAAAUGAUAAGACCCUAAAGUCUUAUCGUAGGCUCUGAUACCAAAUGAUAAGACCCUAAAGUCUUAUCGUAGGCUCUGAUACCAAAUGAUAAGACCCUAAGGUCUUAUCGUGGAAGAAAUGGGAGAAAAGGGAAUGAUAAUGAUCACUUCGAGGGGAUCGGCCCUCCUUGAUCUCUUCGA